Molecule: transfer RNA, 86 nt
Filed under: Aspergillus luchuensis IFO 4308
Lineage: Eukaryota; Fungi; Ascomycota; Eurotiomycetes; Eurotiales; Aspergillaceae
Also listed under: 1 other name
Description: Aspergillus kawachii IFO 4308 tRNA-Tyr
Rfam family: tRNA
About the family: Transfer RNA (tRNA) molecules are approximately 80 nucleotides in length. Their secondary structure includes four short double-helical elements and three loops (D, anti-codon, and T loops).
Source: RNAcentral
CCCCCGAUGGUCUAGUUGGUUCAUGGCGUCUGACUGUAAUGGGAAUUGUAAUCAGAAAAUCACCAGUUCGAUUCUGGUUCGGGGGA